Long non-coding RNA from Monodelphis domestica (gray short-tailed opossum), 541 nucleotides. NCBI's taxonomy places the organism in Eukaryota, Metazoa, Chordata, Mammalia, Didelphimorphia, Didelphidae. The record is from Ensembl.
AGGGCAGUUGAAAGUUUUCAGUUUAUUCCAUUACCACUUAAGAGUUCAAGAAUUUUGUUUUUAAGUUCUCUGUUUUGUGCUCAAAUAUCGCUGGAAUUCUAUUAGACUAUUAUAAUGUAUUUUUUAAAUAUGAAUAUAAUACACAGCCUUAGAAUAGAUCAUACUUGAAUAUAGAAUGCUUUCCUAACCACAACCCAGAAAGGUGUUCUUUUCUUCAUGGAGGCUGACAUCUGAAGACUGGAGAAAUCAUUCAUUGGGUCCUGAAGAAUAGUCUAAUACAGUUGAAUUGAAGUUAGAAAAUGUGGCUUCCAGGCUUCCUGCUGGAAUUUACCUGGAAGAUAUUGGGUUCCUUGUUUCCCCUGAUCCAAAGAUUUUGAGCAGUGAGAAGCCAUCAAGGAGAAGUGCAUACCUCUUCAAUCAGCUGAGAAAAAUGAAGUUCCUUCCCUAUCUAGUGAUUCCCUCCCUGUUGCUUACAAAGGAAACAGCAGAGAUGAUGGCAAGACUUCAUUUAAAUAGGGCUUUUCAGAGUGACUAUGAAUAA